UAAUGGGCUAUUCCAUUUAAUAUCCGUACCCCCCCUGUCGAGGAUACAUGUUUUUCAUUGUCAUACCCCUGAAGAAUUCCAAGCUCAAAACUGUUUACCCCUGAAGAAUUCCAAAAUUCCGAGCUCAAAACUCUUUACCCCUGAAGAAUUCCAAGCUCAAAACCUUUUACCCCUGAAGAAUUCCAAAAUUCCAAGCUCAAAAUCCUUUACCCCUGAAGAAUUCCAAGCUCAAAACCUUUUACCCCUGAAGAAUUCCAAAAUUCCAAGCUCAAAACCCUUUACCCCUGAAGAAUUCCAAGCUCAAAACCCUUUACCCCUGAAAAAUUCCAAGCUCGAAACCUUUUACCCCUGAAGAAUUCCAAGCUGAAAACCCUUUACCCCUGAAGAAUUCCAAGCUCUGAAAAAUUUCAAAUCAAACCUCCUUACCCCUGAAGAAUUCCAAGCUCAAAACUCUUUACCCCUGAAGAAUUCCAAGCUCAAAACCCUUUACCCCUGAAGAAUUCCAAGCUCAAAACACUUUACCCCUGAAGAAUUCCAAGCUCAAAACCCUUUACCCCUGAAGAAUUCCAGGGAUCCUCGACAGGGGGGUACGGAUAUUUAAUGGAAUAG
Molecule: non-coding RNA, 609 nt
Organism: Paramuricea clavata
Lineage: Eukaryota; Metazoa; Cnidaria; Anthozoa; Malacalcyonacea; Plexauridae
Source: the annotation of a GenBank genome assembly